AGACUUGCACAGUGGCAGUAUCAUAGCCAAUGAGGUUAAUCUGAGGCGCAGUUAUUGCUAAUUGAAAACUUUUCCCACCACGAUGACUUGAAAUACAGUCAGCAUUGGCAAUUUUUGACAGUCUCUAUGGAAA
This is a small nuclear RNA of Pogoniulus pusillus (Red-fronted tinkerbird), 133 nucleotides long. RefSeq annotates it as U4 spliceosomal RNA. The record is from RefSeq and is a predicted model, not a curated record. NCBI's taxonomy places the organism in Eukaryota, Metazoa, Chordata, Aves, Piciformes, Lybiidae. The transcript has a single exon.